This is a long non-coding RNA of Hylaeus volcanicus, 848 nucleotides long. RefSeq lists it as uncharacterized. The record is from RefSeq and is a predicted model, not a curated record. The transcript is spliced from 2 exons. Lineage: Eukaryota; Metazoa; Arthropoda; Insecta; Hymenoptera; Colletidae.
CCAGGACCAUUGCCAUCUAACCGCUUGGACAAGGCACUGCGUGCUACGCAUCCAAAAUGGUUAUUUAAAAAUUGUCUAAACUUCUUAACUUCGUCGUUUCGAUUUUCGUGGAAAAUAGCUAUCUGACUAUCGGAACGAAGAAUCGGGAUCUAGAUCGGAAGAGAAGACCGAGAGGAAGGAGAGCGGACGUAAAUGAGAAGUGAACGGGAGCACGAUCGGCCGGUCGGUUGCAAUUACGCAAUUGACAUUGGCAAAGUGUAACAGUACGGGCACGGCCAAGAACUUCGUGAUUUCAUAAGUAAGCCGCAGGCGAAGGAAAGCAUUAUACUUUGGUAAGCUGGUACACCGCGUCUUUUUCGUUUCCUAAUCCAAGCCUUUGGGCGUCGAACGUUGCGUUGUCCUCCCAACUUCCUUCGCGCUGCGAGGUGUCGCGUAUAUAAAUUCGCUGACGCGAAAAAAUAAACGACCCGGCCAGUUGCGAAAUAAAAUUCGCUGGCUGUUCAACACGACCAAUAUAUAAUAAAAGGAGCGAAAUUGACGCGACGAUAUAGCGUUUAAAUCUUGAAAUGACAUAGACUAAACGUAGGAGAAUUAUUUCACAAAGUAAGCGACCGUGACUUUUAAGAAAGUACUAUAUGGGAAUUUUACUAUCUAAAAGAGGUAGAAAAGAUAACUCUUAGUACAGAGAAAACUCUUUUGGCUUGAAAGGCUCUCCCGAUUUAUUAACUCCUUAAAAAAUUUCAUACAAUACUGUAUGCUCAUAAUUACGUGAUGUCAGCAAUACUGGCAACCCCUCGCGUAUCGUAUCAACUUGCAGACUUAACUUUACACGAAUCGAAUUACUCCUU